This is an RNA transcript of Oncorhynchus gorbuscha (pink salmon), 2163 nucleotides long. It is a transcript of the gene named acetylcholine receptor subunit beta-like, with no coding region annotated. The transcript has 13 exons. NCBI's taxonomy places the organism in Eukaryota, Metazoa, Chordata, Actinopteri, Salmoniformes, Salmonidae. The record is from RefSeq and is a predicted model, not a curated record.
GAGAGAGAGAGAGAGAGAGAAACUGCUCACUCCCACAAGCAGGACUCUGCCUGUAAGGUUGGCAUAGCUAAAUGGUGGUGUAGCGGCUGUGUUGGCCUGUUUAAUGCUCUGGACCUGGAUGCGUGUGUGGGGAUGUGUGUUAACGAUUAGCGACUUCGUUGGACUAUCCAGAUUCCUGUUAAAGGUGGUUAGAGUGCCCACCGAUUGGAAUAGUGGGUACAGUUGGUGGGUAAGGUCGGUACGCCCCUACGAUACAGUUUGGUUGGUUUGUUGGUUGCCAGGGGAAGGGGCAAGACGUUGUGGGUCCUUGUGGUCUGAGGUGUUUUGAGGAUGACUAUGUGGAUGAAGAUGGGAGAAAGGAUGAACCUUUUCCUGUGGGUGGUGUCUGCUUGCCUCUGCCUCACUCUCACUGGUGCGUCAGAGUCAGAGAGGCUGCUUCACCAGAAGAUCUUCCAGAACUACAACCUGAAGGUCCGGCCAGCUAAACAAUGGGAGGAGAAAGUUCAGGUCCGAGUGGGGAUGACCCUCUCCCAGCUCGUCAGCCUGAACGAGAAGAACGAGGAGAUGACAACCAAUGUGUUCAUGAAUAUGGCGUGGACUGACUACAGAUUAUCAUGGAAUCCAGAGGAUUACGAUAAUAUAGAUGUCCUCAGGAUUCCUUCUAACAAGGUGUGGCGGCCAGACAUCUACCUCAUCAACAAUAAUGAUGGUCAGUUUGACGUGGCUCUGUAUGUCAACGUGCUGGUCUACAGUGAUGGGACAGUCAACUGGCUGCCUCCUGCUAUCUACCGCAGCAGCUGCCCUAUAGAGGUGGCGUACUUUCCGUUUGACUGGCAGAACUGCACCAUGGUGUUCCGCUCCUACACCUACGACUCAUCAGAGGUGGACCUGCAGUACGCCCUGGAUGAGAAAGGAGAGGAGAUACAUGAGAUUAUCAUAGAUGAGAACGCCUUCACUGAGAACGGGGAGUGGGCGAUCUGCCACAAGCCCAGCAGAAAGAAUGCGAACCCCGAGGACCUGUAUGAAGACAUCACCUUCUAUCUCAUCAUCGAGAGGAAGCCUCUCUUCUACGUCGUUAACAUCAUCGUGCCCUGCAUCCUCACCAUGGUCCUGGCCAUCUUUGUGUUCUAUCUGCCGCCUGGCGCAUGUGAGAAGAUGACCCUGUCUAUCUCUGUCCUCAUCGCUCUCACUGUGUUCAUGCUGCUGCUGGCUGACAAGGUCCCCGAGACCUCCCUGGCCAUCCCUCUUAUUGUUAACUAUGUCAUGUUCACCAUGAUCCUGGUCACCUUCUCAGUCAUCCUCAGUGUGGUGGUCCUCAACUUGCACCAUCGGACCCCCUACACACACAUUAUGCCCCCUUGGGUGCGCAAGGUGUUCAUCCACUUCCUGCCGAAGUACCUGGGCAUGCAGAGGCCCCACCCAGAGGAGCCUUUGGAGGAGGAGCCUAGUGAUGAUACGCCCCUCCAGAGCAUCGACGGACGCAGGCCGGGGGGAGAGUACUUCUUCAGGAAGAUCAACCCUGAACUGGUCCUACCCUGGAGAGGCAGGAGUGAGAGUACAGUACAGCUCCAGAAGUUCUUUGACAGUGACAACUACUGUCUGAUCCUCCCCCCGGACCUCAAGUCAGCCAUCGCUGCCGUCACAUACAUGGCUGAGCAGCUGAAGAAGCAGGAUGGCUCAGACUCGGAGACAGGAGACUGGCAGUACAUAGCCAUCGUGGUGGACAGGCUGUUCCUGUGGCUGUUUGUCAUCAUCACUACUCUGGGGACUCUGGCCAUGUUCAUGGACGCCAGACUCAACUACACCCCAGACGAACCUUUCCCCCUGAGGCCGUAGUCCAUUCAUACACCCCAGCACAGCUCACAAGGGAUUACAAGAACUACACUUCCCAUAAUUCCAUAGCUGAGUACCAACUUCUUUGAUAUGACGAGGACCCCCAGCGAAUCACUGGGAUCGGUGCCUGAUCGGGAGUCUGCAGUAUAUCCUCGUGUCCGACUCAUUGAAGAAGAACUCCUUGUACAAUUUGAGGCACUCUCCAGGCCACCCGUGCCCUGAUGAUUGUUGGCAUCAUCGUAUCCAUCGCUGGGCUGGGUGUGGCCAUCAUGGGCAUGAAGUGUACCACUUGCGGAGGAAACAACAAAGUGUGGAAGUCUCGCACCGCCA